Amblyraja radiata (thorny skate) is the source of this 196-nucleotide long non-coding RNA. RefSeq lists it as uncharacterized. The transcript is spliced from 4 exons. Lineage: Eukaryota; Metazoa; Chordata; Chondrichthyes; Rajiformes; Rajidae. The record is from RefSeq and is a predicted model, not a curated record.
GGGGGGAGACCUCUACUUGAAGAAGAAACAAGCGGGGAAGAGCGGCUACAAGGCCACCAAGACCUCGGAGCGCGGGGAAAACUCAUCAAACUCCUCUGCUCCAGCCUGAGGGCCGCCGUGUGCCGCCGCCGCCGCCGGUACAGGAGCGUCGGUGGAGAGCGGGACAAGUUGGCGGGGUUUCUGCUGUUGGGGGGGG